AGUAAUACAUAAGUAACCUGCCCUAGACAGGGGGAUAACUAUUGGAAACGAUAGCUAAGACCGCAUAGGUACGGACACUGCAUGGUGACCGUAUUAAAAGUGCCUCAAAGCACUGGUAGAGGAUGGACUUAUAGCGCAUUAGCUGGUUGGCGGGGUAACGGCCCACCAAGGCGACGAUGCGUAGCCGACCUGAGAGGGUGACCGGCCACACUGGGACUGAGACACGGCCCAG
RNAcentral lists this ribosomal RNA (232 nucleotides) under uncultured bacterium. Its description in RNAcentral is "partial 16S ribosomal RNA". It matches the Rfam family "Bacterial small subunit ribosomal RNA", at positions 109 to 334 of the family's 1533-position model. The record is from RNAcentral.